GACGGAGGGUGCAAGCGUUGUUCGGAAUUACUGGGCGUAAAGCGCACGUAGGCGGUGAUGCAUGUCAGAUGUGAAAGCCCCGGGCUUAACCUGGGAAUUGCGCUUGUGACUGGCAGACUGGAGUGUGGCAGAGGGAGGUGGAAUUCCACGUGUAGCAGUGAAAUGCGUAGAGAUGUGGAGGAACACCGAUGGCGAAGGCAGCCUCCUGGGCCAGCACUGACGCUCAUGCACGAAAGCGUGGGGAGCAAACAGG
This 253-nucleotide ribosomal RNA is filed under the name uncultured prokaryote. Its description in RNAcentral is "partial 16S ribosomal RNA". It matches the Rfam family "Bacterial small subunit ribosomal RNA", at positions 524 to 776 of the family's 1533-position model. The record is from RNAcentral.